RNAcentral lists this ribosomal RNA (497 nucleotides) under uncultured bacterium. RNAcentral's name for it is "partial 16S ribosomal RNA". It matches the Rfam family "Bacterial small subunit ribosomal RNA", at positions 28 to 507 of the family's 1533-position model. The record is from RNAcentral.
GAUGAACGCUGGCGGCGUGCCUAAUACAUGCAAGUCGAGCGAACAGAUGAGGAGCUUGCUCCUCUGACGUUAGCGGCGGACGGGUGAGUAACACGUGGAUAACCUACCUAUAAGACUGGGAUAACUUCGGGAAACCGGAGCUAAUACCGGAUAAUAUAUUGAACCGCAUGGUUCAAUAGUGAAAGACGGUUUUGCUGUAACUUAUAGAUGGAUCUGCGCCGCAUUAGCUAGUUGGUAAGGUAACGGCUUACCAAGGCAACGAUGCGUAGCCGACCUGAGAGGGUGAUCGGCCACACUGGAACGGAGACACGGUCCAGACUCCUACGGGAGGCAGCAGUAGGGAAUCUUCCGCAAUGGGCGAAAGCCUGACGGAGCAACGCCGCGUGAGUGAUGAAGGUCUUCGGAUCGUAAAACUCUGUUAUUAGGGAAGAACAAAUGUGUAAGUAACUAUGCACGUCUUGACGGUACCUAAUCAGAAAGCCACGGCUAACUACGUG